RNAcentral lists this long non-coding RNA (1783 nucleotides) under Ananas comosus (pineapple). RNAcentral's name for it is "long non-coding RNA (ACOM_LNC034556)". The record is from RNAcentral. Lineage: Eukaryota; Viridiplantae; Streptophyta; Magnoliopsida; Poales; Bromeliaceae.
CCCGCCAUAUGUCUACACAUAUAAGGCGUCUACAAUAAAAGCGGAAGUAAAAGCAAGUAAUAGAACAAAUAGAAGAAGUGAAAUAAUGAGCAGCUAAUGAUAUCAGAGCGAGUAAGGUUCUAACAUCUACAUCAAGGUAAAGGAGUAAAGCUAGACAGUAAAAGAAAUCAUAAGUAGUACAAUAACAGUCUCCAAAGUACAAAAACGGUGGUCUCUAAUACACUGGUAGAACUCUCAACCUCUCGCAAAAGGAAACAAAAAUCGAGAGGUAGACCACCUAACAACUCGUCCUCGAAGGAAGCUAGCUCGUAGCAACUCCCUUCCCGCGAUCCCUGGCCUCACCCUGAGUGGAAGGCUCUGAAAAACAUCGAGAAAAAGAGGGCGUGAGAACUAUAAUUUAUAGUUCCCAGUGGGCAAUUACUGACCUCAGCUCAAUGCACCACUAGGCCCCAAAAGAAGAGGGUAAGUACAAUAACAAUAGCAAUAAAUAGUGAACACGAAACUGCUGAAGGAAGCAUGAAUGAAAUGCUAUACUACUAUGUCUCCAAUAAGCAUGGUCAAAAUGUUGUACAUCUAUUCUAUCAUAAGGAAAAGUGACCAAUGGCAUUAGUUUACUGUUACACCCUUUAUUCAAACAUGAUGUAUAAGCUCUAUCGUGGUAACCAAGUAUACUACAUGUCUCAACCCUAUGCUACAAGCAUGUAAAUGCAAUCCAACUACUAAGCCUAUCUAGUAGUGAUUGUUCAUUCUCAAACCGUGUCGAUUUCCAAUUCCAAUUAGGGACCUACCCAAGGUAGUCCAGCUUGUGCCGCCUAAGUGCCUGUGGUAGCCCGACAUUCCUACUCAUGGAAUGUGUCUGUCCCACUCGACCCCGUAGGCUCCUCAAUACCGCACGAGCGAACAAUAAUCGCAUAGGCCAACUCCGGAGUGCCGGCUUGUAGGGAGCGACCCUCACAAGCAUGUGCGAAUGAGCACAAAUGGCAAGCAAGCAUAGUCCAAGUCUCAAGUAUCCUAUCCUCAUGUCUCUAACAUGGUAUGGUCGCUAGCAUCCCGAAGAUCUAGUUUGAGCCACAAUGUGAAGUUCCAACAUUUGCUACGCCUAGUGCCCCUUGAUGACACUUAGGCAAUUUGAUGUUCAACAUGUAUUCCAAAUCCCUCAAUGGCCCUAUCCACUAGGUUCACACAUGUCCUGAGCUCAAUGCCGCUUGAUGACAUUAGCUCUCUAAUUCACAUGAUAUCAAGUUCGAUGCCUAUAUAUAUAGCAAUUGUUAUCUUUCAUGUCUCAAUUAAACUUAUGUUUAAAUGCAUGGAUCAUAGCUCAUAUACUCUAUGGAAGCAUGAAACCAAAACUCAUAUAGAAUGCUAAAUGCAACCAACUCUCUCUCUCAAGCAACUCUCUACUACAUAGAGGUCCAAAGUUUCAUUACAUAUGACAUGGGCAUUUUAAGCAUCCUAAAAAUCAUAAUAAAUGUGUUUAGCAUGAACAUGCAUGAAUUAAUAGUAUACGAAACACUUUUCACCAAAUAUGAGGAUUUCUCAUAUGAUAGGCUAGGUCAAACCCACCGACGACAACGAAGCUUUUAGCUUGCUUCGAUGGAGGUAUCCACUAGCUUCCUAGCACCCUAGGAACAUCAAAAAUAGUGUCAUCCAAUCGAUACGAAGAGCAAUAAGCUCGAUCUUUAACCUAGAAGCAAAAGGGCCAAAACUCACCUCAAGAGUAGAAAUCUUCUCCUAAGCUCCAAAAGAGAGCUAGAACCCUUCCAAUCCAAGCCCUAGGAAGGUU